This 430-nucleotide ribosomal RNA is filed under the name Verrucomicrobiota bacterium. RNAcentral describes it as "Verrucomicrobia bacterium partial 16S ribosomal RNA". It matches the Rfam family "Bacterial small subunit ribosomal RNA", at positions 355 to 776 of the family's 1533-position model. Lineage: Bacteria; Pseudomonadati; Verrucomicrobiota. The record is from RNAcentral.
UAGGGAAUCUUCGGCAAUGGGGGGAACCCUGACCGAGCAACGCCGCGUGAGUGAAGAAGGUUUUCGGAUCGUAAAGCUCUGUUGUUAAGGAAGAACGAGUGUGAGAAUGGAAAGUUCAUGCUGUGACGGUACUUAACCAGAAAGGGACGGCUAACUACGUGCCAGCAGCCGCGGUAAUACGUAGGUGGCAAGCGUUGUCCGGAAUUAUUGGGAGUAAAGAGUGCGUAGGCGGCAAAUUAAGUCAGAUGUGAAAACUAAGGGCUCAAACCAUAGAUUGCAUCUGAAACUGAGAUAAUUGAGUCAAGGAGAGGAAAGUGGAAUUCCUAGUGUAGCGGUGGAAUGAGUAGAUAUUAGGAGGAAUACCGGUGGCGAAGGCGACUUUCUGGACUUGAACUGACGCUGAGGCACGAAAGCGUGGGGAGCAAACAGG